Molecule: non-coding RNA, 23 nt
Filed under: Arabidopsis thaliana (thale cress)
Lineage: Eukaryota; Viridiplantae; Streptophyta; Magnoliopsida; Brassicales; Brassicaceae
Source: RNAcentral
CGUCCGAGCUCCAGCUAUCCUGA